CGAGCACGCGCGUGUGGCAUAUCAAUAAGCGGAGGAAAAGAAACUAACAAGGAUUCCCUUAGUAACGGCGAGUGAAGCGGGAAGAGCUCAAAUUUGAAAUCUUCAAGGUUCUACCUUGACGAAUUGUAGUUUAUAGAAGUGUUUUCUGUUAGUAGGAGUGGCAAAAGUUCUUUGGAAUAGGACAUCAUAGAGGGUGAGAAUCCCGUAUUUGGUCAUUCCUUCCUAGCGUUGUGAUACACUUUCAACGAGUCGGAUUGUUUGGGAAUGCAGUCCAAAAUGGGUGGUAAAUUCAUCUAAAGCUAAAUAUUGGCGAGAGACCGAUAGCGAACAAGUACCGUGAGGGAAAGAUGAAAAGAACUUUGAAAAGAGAGUUAAACAGUACGUGAAAUUGUCAAAAGGGAAGCGUUUGACACCAGUGUUGUUUUUCCGAAAAUCAAUUACGAAUGUUUUGUUUUUGAGGAGUUAUGACUUCAUCGGCUUGCUUCCUUUCUUUACGAAACUUUCUUAAUGCACUUUUCGGUUAACAAGUCAACAUCAAUUUCUUUUGUUGUAAAAGGGUAUGAGGAAGGUGGCUUUCUUUUCGGAGAAAGUGUUUAUAGCCUUGUACCUCUGCAAUCGGAGAGAUUGAGGUCUGCAGCGUAGAUCCUUCGGGGUUAGAUACAUUUGUGCUAAGUUAUAGCUUUUCAUAGACAACUUGUUGACUAUGUUAAGUCUUGUAGCUUACUCGCUUAUGCUAUUUUACCUACGCUUAGGAUGUUGAUGUGAUACUGCGAGCA
Molecule: ribosomal RNA, 776 nt
Filed under: uncultured Neocallimastigales
Lineage: Eukaryota; Fungi; Neocallimastigomycota; Neocallimastigomycetes; Neocallimastigales
Description: partial large subunit ribosomal RNA
Rfam family: Eukaryotic large subunit ribosomal RNA
Source: RNAcentral